AGAACGUAAUGACGCCAGCUGGUACCAAUUUCAAAAUGACAAAUAUUUACGACAUAAAGGCUGAAAGAGGACAGUUUGGAUGUUAAUCGUGUUAAUGUCUGCGAGCCAAAUAAGCAUUCAUCUUCCUUUACUGGAGCGGCGAGGGCCACUUUGCUCAUCUGACGUCAUAUGUCCACAGCCAGGUCGCAGGAGAGCUGGUGACGUCAUCUGGUCAGGAUGAAGGAUCUUUUGGGGGUAAAAGGGCCAAAGAAGAACCUCCUGCUCUCCAGCUGCUCACCAGCCAGGCCACUGGAACGCUGAUUUGGCCCCGCGGAGCCCCUACAACUGAAGAGCAGCCAGAUAACUUUAUCUCCUGACCAACCGGCGCCCGCAUCCCCAAGUACCUCCGUGUCUCCGCAGUGAGCCGUGCGCCUCACCUGCCGAUCUUCCCCCUGGACUCUGAUUGCCUUCCUCGACCCCCGCACUCGGACCUGGACUUCUGGACGCCUCUCUCCUGCCCCCACGGACCUCGCUCGGAUCACGAACCUCUUUUGCUUCGCCCCUCUGGACUUCUUUGCUGCCACAACCAACACACACUUACAAUAACCUCUGGUAACUUAUAUUUGGUUAACUUCUACACAUAGCCCUGCAUCCACACACAUAGUAGCAUACACACCCGACGUAAUCAUCAAGCUCAAAUAAAACCCGUUGAGCUAGACCUCCUGCUGUCGUACCGUCUCCUUCCCCCUUCGUCUUACGUAACAGUACCGGUACCAAAAUGUAUUUUGAUACUUUUCUAAAAA
This is a long non-coding RNA of Entelurus aequoreus (snake pipefish), 782 nucleotides long. RefSeq lists it as uncharacterized. The record is from RefSeq and is a predicted model, not a curated record. The transcript has 4 exons. Lineage: Eukaryota; Metazoa; Chordata; Actinopteri; Syngnathiformes; Syngnathidae.